UACGAGGGGGGCAAAUGUUGUUCGGAAUCACUGGGCGUAAAGGGAGCGUAGGCGGGUUCUUAAGUAAGGUGUUUAAUCCCGGGGCCCAACCCCGGACCGGCACUUUAAACUGGGAAUCUUGAAUAGUGGAGAGGUCAGUGGAAUUGGGGGUGUAGCGGUGGAAUGCGUAGAGAUCCCCAAGAACACCAGUUGCGAAGGCGGCUGACUGGACACAUAUUGACGCUGAGGCUCGAAAGCAUGGGGAGCAAACAGGG
Molecule: ribosomal RNA, 254 nt
Filed under: uncultured bacterium
Lineage: Bacteria
Description: partial 16S ribosomal RNA
Rfam family: Bacterial small subunit ribosomal RNA
Source: RNAcentral